GACGAACGCUGGCGGCGUGCCUAACACAUGCAAGUUGAGCGACGAACCAGGGCUUGCCCUGGGGCAAAGCAGCGAACGGGUGAGUAACACGUGGGUAACCUACCCCGAUAACCGGGACAACCCGAGGAAACUCGGGCUAAUACCGGAUGUGCUCACUGGACUUCGGUUCAGUGCGUAAAGGAAGCUUCGGCCUCCGUAUCGGGAGGGGCCCGCGGCCCAUUAGUUUGUUGGUGGGGUAACGGCUCACCAAGACCGCGAUGGGUAGCUGGUCUGAGAGGACGAUCAGCCACACUGGGACUGAGACACGGCCCAGACUCCUACGGGAGGCAGCAGUGGGGAAUCUUGGGCAAUGCGCGAAAGCGUGACGCAGCAACGCCGCGUGGGGGAAGAAGGCCUUCGGGUUGUAAACCCCUUUCAGGAGGGACGAAGGUUCGGCGGUGAAUAGCCGUCCGGACUGACGGUACCUCCACAAGAAGCCCCGGCUAACUACGUG
RNAcentral lists this ribosomal RNA (493 nucleotides) under uncultured bacterium. Its description in RNAcentral is "partial 16S ribosomal RNA". It matches the Rfam family "Bacterial small subunit ribosomal RNA", at positions 28 to 507 of the family's 1533-position model. The record is from RNAcentral.